Non-coding RNA from Eubacterium sp. CAG:192, 340 nucleotides. Lineage: Bacteria; Bacillati; Bacillota; Clostridia; Eubacteriales; Eubacteriaceae. The record is from Rfam.
GGGCUAGUACUGGUUUCGACAGGGAUUUGGAAUCUGGUGAAGCUAUCCGUAGGUGAUACGUUAAAUCACAACUUUAAAAUUAAACGCUGAAGAUAAUUUAGCUUACGCUGCCUAGUUGCAGCUGUCACUAAUAAGUCUCCUACAGCUUGUUAGUUGGCAUCGACUUUCGUAGGGAACCCUAAUUACAAAGCUUUGAGUAAUUAGGAGCAUUAUGAAGCUACUAAGAGGUAAAGGGUGUUAGUUCCCGUUAUCUUAAGGGAAUGUCAAAUAACUGACUAUGAUAGUAGAAGAACGGUGGAAGGAUUUUUGGACAGGGGUUCGACUCCCCUCUAGUCCACUC